GACGGGCCUCCCCGCAUGGAAGCGCGCCCAACCGGGUCAGGUGGGGAACCAAGCAGCCCUAAGCGUUGCAACCAGUGCCGGGGUCAGGCUCGUCACC
Molecule: signal recognition particle RNA, 97 nt
Filed under: Roseateles saccharophilus
Lineage: Bacteria; Pseudomonadati; Pseudomonadota; Betaproteobacteria; Burkholderiales; Sphaerotilaceae
Also listed under: 18 other names
Description: Pelomonas saccharophila Bacterial small signal recognition particle RNA
Rfam family: Bacterial small signal recognition particle RNA
About the family: The signal recognition particle (SRP) is a universally conserved ribonucleoprotein involved in the co-translational targeting of proteins to membranes. Archaeal SRP consists of a 7S RNA and homologues of the eukaryotic SRP19 and SRP54 proteins.
Source: Rfam by way of RNAcentral